This 3786-nucleotide long non-coding RNA is filed under the name Homo sapiens (human). RNAcentral describes it as "HSALNT0038019". The record is from RNAcentral. Lineage: Eukaryota; Metazoa; Chordata; Mammalia; Primates; Hominidae.
UUUAUAUUAUUCAGGCAAAACUGGAAUGCUUCAUUCUUGUUCAUACAACUUGAAAAGUCAAAUGUCCAAUUGUCCAUGGUUGUAAAGAACAAAGUCUCUUAGUGAUUAAAAAAAUAGUAGCCACUCAAAGAAGAGGAAUGUUAUGAUACUACAGCUGCAGCAUAUUAUUGGGAGAAAUAUUAUUGCUUGUUAAUUUGCAGUGGGCUUUAUCUGUGCCUUGUUAUUCCAGCCUCAUGUUUUUACUUUCUAAACACAGUGUGUCCAGUGGGGAGCACAGAGCACGGUCCCACCAACUCACUGUCCAACAAGAAACAGCUGUCCCUUUGAUUCCAGCACAAGCAAAGACCCUCAUCGAUGGCCAGUGCCAGGCCAAAGGCCCAGCAGUGAGCUUGGGAUCAGAGGCCAGUAGCUUCCAGCAUGAGCUGGGCCAAGGAGUCCAGACACCAGUGUGGAUCGGGGUCUCCAUGUUCCAGUGGAUAUGUAGUUUCUCUAGUAGCCCCUAUGCUCCUUUAGCCAAAGGAGCAUGUGAAGACUUCUCUCUCUAGAAAGCUGCUUCCUGUUGAGGCUUUGGGUGGGGAAAUAUCAAUGGUAGCACAGGUUAGACUGCUCAGAGAUACUCAAGGAAAGAAGGUGAGGGAAAUCCCCAGACAGUAAAAAUAAAGAAAUGGGAUUACAUCAACAUUUUCAGGGACUCUCCCAAGUCAGGUUACUGGAUGCUGUUCCAUCUGUACAUGGACAAUCCCUGAGGUCAAGAGUACACCUCCUAGAGCUGAACAAAGUUGGCUCCGCCUAACAAGCCUCUGUACCUCAGAGCCUAGGGCAGGCCACCACUGUGGGCAUCCUGGUCCCUAACGAUAGACUCAAAUUCCCUCUUUCAGAAGUCCAGAAGACGGAGGCAUCUUUCUGAAGCCUGAAGCAUUGACUCCCAGGUUUUCCCAGUGCCCUUUUCCCAAUUCCCAGUGCCUGGAAAUGAAGAGGGGUUCAAUGGAAGAUACUUGUGAUUACUACUGCAUACAAUGUAUAAGGUUUUUAUAUUCAGCACCUGUGAGUCCAAACUUUGGAGAUGCCUGCUUCUAGCUACAUGGAUUCAGUCAAGUCUCUUCACAGCUCUGAGUCCCCAAUUUCCCUUCCACAAAAUAGAAAUAAUUUUCAUGGUGGAUAUUGUGGUUAAGAAGGAUAAUAUGCUCAGCACACUAUUCAUUCAGCAGAAAAAAUGCACAUAGACCAACUACAUUAGUGUCACCCUACCUCUGUCUCGAAAUUCAUUUGCAUCUCUCUACUUUUUUGCUUUUUCUCUUGGAUACUGAGUUAGUCACCCCCUGGGGACCUAGAUCACUCUGGCCUUUCCCUAACAUUUGUUUUUUCUUUCCAAACUUCAAUUUUAUUAUAGGCUACCUUAAUUCUUGAUGACCUUGUUCUCUCUCCAGCAUACCAGUCCCCUAAAAAUCACCUUUCCUGGAAUUAUCAUCAUACAGAAAAACAUAAAAGCUGUUCUCAGGGAGCCUCCUAGGCUAAGAAGCUUUGCCCCACACAGCCUGCUUCUGAAACCCCUCUUGAAAGAAGCACUCCAAAUGCAGAGGAAUACAUCCAGGAUGAUUAUUCACAAUAUUCAGUAGCAUUAUGUACAAUAGCCAAGUUAUAAAAACAACAUAAAUGCCCAUUUAUGGAUAAAUGGACAAAGAAAAUGUGGCAUAUGCACACAAUGGAUUAUUAUUCAGCCUUUAAAAAGAAGAAAAUCCAGCCAUUUGGGACAACAUGGAAGAACCUGGAGUAUAUCAUGCUAUGUGAAAUGAGCCAGUCACAAAACGACAAAUACUGCAUGAUUCCACUUACAGAUACGAUAUCUGAAAUAGUCAAAUUCAUAGAAACAGAGAGUAGAAUGGUGGUUUCCAGGGACUGGGGGAAGGAGAAAUGAAGGGAUGCUCUUCAAUGCAUAUAAUAUUCAUUUAAGCAAGAGAAGUAAGUUCUAGAGAUCUGUACAAGAGUAUACCUACAGUAUACUUUAUUAACAAUAUUGUACAUUUAAAAAUUUAUUAGGCAAGUAUAUCUCAUUUUAAGCCAUAAUACAAGUAAUUAUAGGAUGUAUCUCAAGGAAUACUAAGAGAAAAUGCAAUGUUUUAUGCAUUUAUAAGAAAAUAAAGGAGAAUAAAAACAAGUAGACAUAAAUUUCUAAAGAAGUUGAAUUGCUUCUUCCAGAAAACAUCCAGGCAACGUCAAAGAUGGCCAGAUUUCUCCCCAGCCCUGAGUUUAGGAGAUCCAAUAUCCCAGUUGGUCCAACAGCUGGUCCAUACAUCUCAGUUUAGGUCCAUUAACCUCGUGCAUUCAUAGACCCCUUUCACUCUCCUAAGUGUUUUGGUCAUCUCACAGGUCUAGAGGAAUUACCAGCACAGGGAAAGGCAGAGAAGAAACAGUUCUACUUUUUUGUAGGAACCAUGAGAAAUGAAAAGCUCGGGGAGUGCUAUGCUGUCACCAGGAAAAAAUGUAAUCUCUAACAUCAAUGUGGUCACUCAAAUGCUGAAUGGAAGAAGACAUCAGGAUGGGAUGAGGAGGUUGGGGCAAUGCCUGCAGGGCCCUGGAAUUCAUCAGUGUGCUCAGGAAAACAGCAUUUCCACAUCUUCCUCCAAAGCUUAGGGACAAGUAAAAAUAUAAUGGAAAGUAAACAUUACAACAGGACUACACAGAUGAACUAUUUUGGGAAUCAUAAUACGGCAAGAAAUAAAAUUUCAGCUAAUAUUCUGUAAGAAGAAAACUUAUUUCAAAAUAAGAGAGGAUUAAAAAGAAGUCUUCAAAAUAAGAGAGGAUUAAAAAGAAGUCUUCAAAAUAAGAGAGGAUUAAAAAGAAGUCUUCAAAAUAAGAGAGGAUUAAAAAGAAGUCUUCAAAAUAAGUGUUCUCUAGAUGAAUGCGACCCAUGUCAGUUUAUGGUUUGUGAGUUCACAGGAAAAACCCACAGUAGACUCUCAGAAACCCUUGCCAGAAUAGGCAGGGAGGGUUUUUCAGAUAGCUGUGCACCUGCAUUGUUCACUGAAAUAGGGAGUGAAAUUUCUAUUAGUGAAGCACUAUUUGUCCCACCCACCCCAGUAGUGAGGCCUGGAGAAACCUGAGUUUGGGAAGAUACCACCCUCCCCAACAAUCUUACUGGUUCCUCUUAGAAACAAGAGCCUUUGUGUGAGCCUGCUUUACAAACUAUAAAACUCCUUAAAAAUGCAAGGAAUCAAUAUUAUAACCACAAUAUUCCACUAAAGCCAUUUGAUUCAUAAAAGAGCCACUGAGAUGUCAAAAUUUUUAUUUCACAAAUUUAAUGCUUUUGAGGUCCAGUGAUAACACUUUAGGUGAAAGCUUCAUUUUCUUAAUCCAGUCUAUCGUUGUUGGACAUUUAGGUUGGUUCCAAGUCUUUGCUAUUGUGAAUAGUGCUGCUAUAAACAUACGUGUGCAUGUGUCUUUAUAGCAGCAUGAUUUAUAGUCUUUUGGGUAUAUACCCAGUAAUGGGAUGGCUAGGUAAAAUGGUAUUUCUAGUUCUAGAUCCCUGAGAAAUCGCCACACUGACGACCAACCUAAAUGUCCAACAACGAUAGACUGGAUUAAGAAAAUGUGCCACAUAUACAUCAUGGAAUACUAAGCAGCCAUAAAAAAUGAUGAGUUCAUGUCCUUUGUAGGGACAUGGAUGAAGCUGGAAACCAUUAUUCUCAGCACACUAUCGCAAGGACAAAAAACCAAACACCGCAUCUUCUCACUCAUAGGUGGAAAUUGAACAAUGAGAACACAUGGACACAGGAAGGGGAACAUCAC